Molecule: ribosomal RNA, 433 nt
Filed under: uncultured bacterium
Lineage: Bacteria
Description: partial 16S ribosomal RNA
Rfam family: Bacterial small subunit ribosomal RNA
Source: RNAcentral
AACGAACGCUGGCGGCAUGCCUAACACAUGCAAGUCGAACGAGACCUUCGGGUCUAGUGGCGCACGGGUGCGUAACGCGUGGGAACCUGCCCUUAGGUUCGGAAUAACUCCCCGAAAGGGGUGCUAAUACCGGAUAAUGUCUUCGGACCAAAGAUUUAUCGCCUUUGGAUGGGCCCGCGUUGGAUUAGCUAGUUGGUAGGGUAAAAGCCUACCAAGGCGACGAUCCAUAGCUGGUCUGAGAGGAUGAUCAGCCACACUGGGACUGAGACACGGCCCAAACUCCUACGGGAGGCAGCAGUGGGGAAUAUUGGACAAUGGGCGAAAGCCUGAUCCAGCAAUGCCGCGUGAGUGAUGAAGGCCUUAGGGUUGUAAAGCUCUUUUACCCGGGAUGAUAAUGACAGUACCGGGAGAAUAAGCUCCGGCUAACUCCGUG